GACCAAGGGCAAGAUAUCCACAAUUUUAUGGUGCAUACCAGGAGUUGCUUCGCAUUGGAGCUGUUUUCCCUCAGAGAGCUGAGAAAGCAGCCCCCGUGUUCACACCCCCCCAAACACAUCCGCUGACUUCAUACCCACAGAAUCUGCGGAAUCCUGAAUCCGGUCAGGAAGCAGCUGAGUCUUCUGCAGAGGCUGAAUAUCCGGCCUUGAGCUUGACAGAGAUCCAGAAUGCACGUGGUAUCAUGGAUGUCCUUGCUGAAAUGUUGAGUGCAUUAGAUCCUGAAAACAAAGAGGGGCUGAAACAAGAGGUGAUUGUUGAUUUGGUGGAACAAUGUCGUACCUACAAGCAAAGGGUAGUACACCUUGUAAACUCGACUACGGAUGAAUCACUGCUCUGCCAAGGGCUAGCGCUGAAUGAUGAGUUGCAGCGUGUAUUGGCCAAGCAUGAAUCUAUUGCCUCCGGAACUCCUGUUCAAGUAGAAAAAACAAAUUCUGAACCACCUCAACCUCUUGUAAAUGUUGAUGCUCCACUUAUUGAUACCGGGGACCACAAACAAUCAGACCGAGGAUCUACAUCAAAUGCUAGCCUAGGGACACAGUUGCUUCUUCCUGCUCCUGCUUCGGCUAACAUUCCAUCAACAACAACAAAAGUUGACCCGAAAAUUGAUCUUCUGAGUGGAGAUGACUUCAGCUCACCUACAACUGAGAAUGUCCUGGCCCUUGUUCCUGUUGGUGGAGAACCUCAGCCUGCAAGUCCUGUUUCACAGCAGAAUGCCCUUGCUCUUGUUGACAUGUUUUCAUCACCCAGCAACUCACAAUCUCCAUAUUCAGCAGGGCAGACACAUGCUUCGUCCCCUCAAUUUCGACAACAGAGUUUCACUCCUACCCAGUCAGCUUUGUACCCAAAUGGAAGUGUCCCCGGAACUACAUAUACACAAGGCUCUAACACGGCCUGGAACGAACAGAUAUCACAGCAACAGCAGCAGUCACCUUCUCCAGUUUAUGGUGGUCAAAGCAGUUCGUUUCCACCACCUCCAUGGGAAGCUGAGGCAGCAGAUAACAGCCAAACAAUGGGGAAUCCUCAUGCUCAACCGAUGCAAAAUAAUCAGUUGUUGCCAGGUAGUCCACAUGCCCUACCAAUGCACAACAAUCAGAUAAUGUCUGGUAGUCCAAAUGCUUUAUCAAUGCAAAAUAGCCAGCUGAUGGCAACUAACAACCAGCAAUUGGCUGGUGGUUCACAUGUCCAUGGUAUGUAUGCACAACCGAUCACUGGUGGACAGCCUGCAAUGAUGAAUCAGGCUAUGCAAAACAAUCAGAUGGUAGGCUUGCUUCCUCAACCAAUCCAAGGUGGACAAUCAAUGGGUAUGUUUCCACAACAAAUGCCACCUGGGCACAUGGCUUAUAUGUAUGCCCAACAACAAAUGUAUGGAAACCAGAUGGCUGGCUAUGGCUAUGGCUAUGCUCAACCACAGAACACACAAUUUCUUAAUCAGAGAAUGUCUGGGCUCUCUGUGAGGGAUGACGGUGUCCUAAAUAAUUCGUCCUAUCCAGUUUCAACUCCUUCAUACAUACCAUCUGGAAAGCCCUCAAAGCCAGAGGAUAAACUAUUUGGUGAUCUUGUUGACAUUUCAAAGUUCAAAUCACCCAAAACAACUCCUGGCAGAGCUGGGAGCAUGUGACAGUGACUGGUUUCUGCACCUUCCUUUUUUUCUUCAAUAUAUUUCGACAUCUAUUUAGUAAUCAAGCUUGCGUUUGUUCUGAUUUUUCGCUCAACAGUUAAUUUUCACACAUUGUUCCUUUUAGUCCAUAUGCAUUUAAUGGUUCUUUGUGAGUUUGUGUACAUUUCUUGUAGAGAGUAAAACCCCAAGAUCACAAAGAAAGUUGAGGAGCUUCCUUUUUUU
Molecule: unclassified non-coding RNA, 1901 nt
Filed under: Hevea brasiliensis (rubber tree)
Lineage: Eukaryota; Viridiplantae; Streptophyta; Magnoliopsida; Malpighiales; Euphorbiaceae
Source: RNAcentral